This 45-nucleotide non-coding RNA is filed under the name Schistosoma mansoni. The record is from RNAcentral. Lineage: Eukaryota; Metazoa; Platyhelminthes; Trematoda; Strigeidida; Schistosomatidae.
AUCUAGCUGACGCGUCCCAAACUGGAUGAAACGCACGUCCUAAAU